CGUAACCAAGGAGAGAAGGAAACAGCCCUUGGAAAGAGAACAUAAUGAACUGCACUUUGCUGAAAUAUUUAUAUUGUUGGCAGUUGUCACAGAAUCCUAUGAGUCAGAAGAUCAGAAGAAUUAACCUCCCUAGAAUGUUCCAUCUGAAAAAGAAC
Mauremys reevesii (Reeves's turtle) is the source of this 155-nucleotide long non-coding RNA. RefSeq lists it as uncharacterized. The record is from RefSeq and is a predicted model, not a curated record. Lineage: Eukaryota; Metazoa; Chordata; Testudines; Geoemydidae. The transcript is spliced from 3 exons.